Ixodes scapularis (black-legged tick) is the source of this 72-nucleotide non-coding RNA. NCBI's taxonomy places the organism in Eukaryota, Metazoa, Arthropoda, Arachnida, Ixodida, Ixodidae. The record is from Rfam.
UCCUGGUUAGCUCAGUUGGCAGAGCGCUCCACUGGAAGUGGGGAGUUCCUGGUUCGAUAGCAGGACGAGGAA